This is a non-coding RNA of Danionella cerebrum, 72 nucleotides long. NCBI's taxonomy places the organism in Eukaryota, Metazoa, Chordata, Actinopteri, Cypriniformes, Danionidae. The record is from the annotation of a GenBank genome assembly.
UCCCUGAUGGUCUAGUGGUCAGAAUUCGGUACUCUCACCGCUGUGCCCCGGGUUCGAUUCCUGGUCAGGGAA